AUAUCAAUAAGCGGAGGAAAAGAAACUAACAAGGAUUCCCCUAGUAACUGCGAGUGAAGCGGGAAAAGCUCAAAUUUAAAAGCCUUCGGGCGUUGUAAUCUGUAGAAGUGUUAUCAGUCGUUGCCUUGGAUAAGUCUCUUGGAACAGAGCGUCAUAGAGGGUGAGAGCCCCUUCCUUGCCAAGCUACCAACGUCUAUGUGAUACACUCUCAAAGAGUCGAGUUGUUUGGGAAUGCAGCUCAAAACGGGUGGUAAACUCCAUCUAAAGCUAAAUAUUGGCGAGAGACCGAU
This 290-nucleotide ribosomal RNA is filed under the name uncultured Dacrymycetes. RNAcentral's name for it is "partial 28S ribosomal RNA". It matches the Rfam family "Eukaryotic large subunit ribosomal RNA", at positions 40 to 338 of the family's 3401-position model. Lineage: Eukaryota; Fungi; Basidiomycota; Dacrymycetes. The record is from RNAcentral.